UGCGAGCGUGACGGCGCGAGCAGGUGCGAAAGCAGGUCAUAGUGAUCCGGUGGUUCUGAAUGGAAGGGCCAUCGCUCAACGGAUAAAAGGUACUCCGGGGAUAACAGGCUGAUACCGCCCAAGAGUUCAUAUCGACGGCGGUGUUUGGCACCUCGAUGUCGGCUCAUCACAUCCUGGGGCUGAAGUAGGUCCCAAGGGUAUGGCUGUUCGCCAUUUAAAGUGGUACGCGAGCUGGGUUUAGAACGUCGUGAGACAGUUCGGUCCCUAUCUGCCGUGGGCGCUGGAGAACUGAGGGGGGCUGCUCCUAGUACGAGAGGACCGGAGUGGACGCAUCACUGGUGUUCGGGUUGUCAUGCCAAUGGCACUGCCCGGUAGCUAAAUGCGGAAGAGAUAAGUGCUGAAAGCAUCUAAGCACGAAACUUGCCCCGAGAUGAGUUCUCCCUGAGACUUUAGGUCUCCUGAAGGAACGUUGAAGACGACGACGUUGAUAGGCCGGGUGUGUAAGCGCAGCGAUGCGUUGAGCUAACCGGUACUAAUGAACCGUGAGGCUUAACCUUACAACGCCGAA
Molecule: ribosomal RNA, 568 nt
Filed under: Salmonella enterica
Lineage: Bacteria; Pseudomonadati; Pseudomonadota; Gammaproteobacteria; Enterobacterales; Enterobacteriaceae
Description: partial 23S ribosomal RNA
Rfam family: Bacterial large subunit ribosomal RNA
Source: RNAcentral